This 31-nucleotide ribosomal RNA is filed under the name Rhizophagus intraradices. RNAcentral's name for it is "partial 25S ribosomal RNA". RNAcentral also lists the same sequence under 1 other name. Lineage: Eukaryota; Fungi; Glomeromycota; Glomeromycetes; Glomerales; Glomeraceae. The record is from RNAcentral.
CGCUGAACUUAAGCAUAUCAAUAAGCGGAGG